This 1519-nucleotide ribosomal RNA is filed under the name human gut metagenome. RNAcentral's name for it is "bacterial SSU rRNA". It matches the Rfam family "Bacterial small subunit ribosomal RNA". The record is from RNAcentral.
GUUUGAUCCUGGCUCAGGACGAACGCUGGCGGCGUGCCUAAUACAUGCAAGUCGAACGCUUCUUUCCUCCCGAGUGCUUGCACUCAAUUGGAAAGAGGAGUGGCGGACGGGUGAGUAACACGUGGGUAACCUACCCAUCAGAGGGGGAUAACACUUGGAAACAGGUGCUAAUACCGCAUAACAGUUUAUGCCGCAUGGCAUAAGAGUGAAAGGCGCUUUCGGGUGUCGCUGAUGGAUGGACCCGCGGUGCAUUAGCUAGUUGGUGAGGUAACGGCUCACCAAGGCCACGAUGCAUAGCCGACCUGAGAGGGUGAUCGGCCACACUGGGACUGAGACACGGCCCAAACUCCUACGGGAGGCAGCAGUAGGGAAUCUUCCACAAUGGACGCAAGUCUGAUGGAGCAACGCCGCGUGAGUGAAGAAGGCUUUCGGGUCGUAAAACUCUGUUGUUAGAGAAGAACAAGGACGUUAGUAACUGAACGUCCCCUGACGGUAUCUAACCAGAAAGCCACGGCUAACUACGUGCCAGCAGCCGCGGUAAUACGUAGGUGGCAAGCGUUAUCCGGAUUUAUUGGGCGUAAAGCGAGCGCAGGCGGUUUUUUAAGUCUGAUGUGAAAGCCCCCGGCUCAACCGGGGAGGGUCAUUGGAAACUGGGAGACUUGAGUGCAGAAGAGGAGAGUGGAAUUCCAUGUGUAGCGGUGAAAUGCGUAGAGAUUAGGAAGAACACCAGUGGCGAAGGCGACUUUCUGGACUGUAACUGACGCUGAGGCUCGAAAGCGUGGGGAGCAAACAGGAUUAGAUACCCUGGUAGUCCACGCCGUAAACGAUGAGUGCUAAGUGUUGGAGGGUUUCCGCCCUUCAGUGCUGCAGCAAACGCAUUAAGCACUCCGCCUGGGGAGUACGACCGCAAGGUUGAAACUCAAAGGAAUUGACGGGGGCCCGCACAAGCGGUGGAGUAUGUGGUUUAAUUCGACGCAACGCGAAGAACCUUACCUGGUCUUGACAUCCACGGAAGUUUUCAGAGAUGAGAAUGUGCCUUCGGGAACCGUGAGACAGGUGCUGCAUGGCUGUCGUCAGCUCGUGCCGGGAAAUGUUGGGUUAAGUCCCGCAACGAGCGCAACCCUUAUCCUUUGUUGCCAGCGGUCCGGCCGGGAACUCAAAGGAGACUGCCAGUGAUAAACUGGAGGAAGGUGGGGAUGACGUCAAGUCAUCAUGGCCCUUACGACCAGGGCUACACACGUGCUACAAUGGCGCAUACAAAGAGAAGCGACCUCGCGAGAGCAAGCGGACCUCAUAAAGUGCGUCGUAGUCCGGAUUGGAGUCUGCAACUCGACUCCAUGAAGUCGGAAUCGCUAGUAAUCGUGGAUCAGAAUGCCACGGUGAAUACGUUCCCGGGCCUUGUACACACCGCCCGUCACACCAUGGGAGUGGGUUGCAAAAGAAGUAGGUAGCUUAACCUUCGGGAGGGCGCUUACCACUUUGUGAUUCAUGACUGGGGUGAAGUCGUAACAAGGUAACC